RNAcentral lists this transfer RNA (70 nucleotides) under Camelus bactrianus (Bactrian camel). It matches the Rfam family "tRNA". From Rfam's summary of the family: Transfer RNA (tRNA) molecules are approximately 80 nucleotides in length. Their secondary structure includes four short double-helical elements and three loops (D, anti-codon, and T loops). The record is from Rfam by way of RNAcentral. RNAcentral also lists the same sequence under 2 other names. Lineage: Eukaryota; Metazoa; Chordata; Mammalia; Artiodactyla; Camelidae.
GGGUAUAGCUCUGUGGUAGAGCAUGUGCUUAGCAUGCAUGAGGUCUUGGGUUCAAUCCUCCAUACGUCCU